Melanotaenia boesemani (Boeseman's rainbowfish) is the source of this 3988-nucleotide RNA transcript. It is a transcript of the gene named butyrophilin subfamily 2 member A2-like, with no coding region annotated. The transcript has 10 exons. The record is from RefSeq and is a predicted model, not a curated record. NCBI's taxonomy places the organism in Eukaryota, Metazoa, Chordata, Actinopteri, Atheriniformes, Melanotaeniidae.
UCAAAAGUGAAAGUAAAAAACUCUCAGACAAAGGCAUUUCUUUUAAUCGCUGCUUCGUUUUUGCGACUUUUAUAAAAUAAAAAUACUCCAGACAAAUGCGAGGCUGACUGCAGAUCAGUCGUUCUGGGUCUGAGUUACUAAAUAAUUCCCAUCGCGUGGCGGAAAAAUCAGCCUGCAGUUUGAAGGGCACGAUGGACGGACGGAUGAUUGAUUUGUUUGUGAUGCUUCUUCUUUCUAUGUGCAGAGCUGCUCCUGUUUCAGAGAGCUUUACAGUUUUGGUUGGGUCUCCUGUGUCAGUACAACGUGGUGCUACAGCCACAUUACCCUGCUGGCUCAGUCCAUCACAAAGUGCAGAGAAUCUGGAGGUACGCUGGUAUCGUGGCAACUAUGAUACUCCUAUUAUAAGUUACAAGGGAAAAAUGUUUGAUGAUGGAUCCCAGGAACCUUCAUAUGCUGGCAGAGUCUCAUUUGACUUAAAGGAAGCAACGUCAGGUGGGCUGAAGGCCGGUGAUGUGAGUCUGAAGCUGGUAAAUGUCACAGUUAAAGAUGAAGGGGAUUACACCUGUUAUGUCAGCAGCCUCCACGGAUAUGACAGCUCCACCAUGAGCCUCCGUGUGAUGGAAACAGGAGGACCUCCUCUUCUGUCUGCAGUGUGGAAAGAAGAAAACACGGCGAAUGUGAGCUGUGAAUCUGAAGGCUGGUAUCCACGUCCUGAUCUGCGCUGGUCUGACAAGACAAAAGAUCUGAAACCUGUUGGUUUGGUGUACAGCAACGUCUCUGGUCAUUUCUCAGUCCACAGCUGGCUUCUUGUCUCUGGGUCCUCUGAGGUCUCCUGCUCUGUAGGUCUCUCUAACAUCGUGACAAAGGAGGCUAGAAUACGCACAAUAAAACCUCCAGAUAAAGUGUCAGGAGUCCCUGUCGGAUGGGUCGCUUUUGGGAUAGUCCUCAUAAUCUUAUUGGUUGGACUGGCAGCAUUUUUCUAUAAAAUGAAAGGGAAGAAAUCUGCUGAACCCACUGAAGAAAAUGUAGCACUUUUACCAGAAGAAGUGGUGCAGCCAUCCGCUCUAGAAACAGCUUCCAAGCAUUACGAAAAUAUUAAACUCGAGAACACAAAUAAUAAAUACCUCAAAGUCAAAGACACUAUACUGAGAGACGCCCCGGUUGAAACGUUUCCAGAUGGACAGAGUGUUACCUGUCUCACAGCAAUCAGAGGAACACCGGGAUUCUCUGGAGGGAAACACUAUUGGGAAGUUUCUUUGGGAAAUGAAAACAUUGAACCAAAGAAGUCCUGGUGGAUAGGAGUUACCACUGCCACUGAAAUCCCUCAGGAAUCUGAUUUCUGUCCAAACACAUCCAAUGGUUUCUGGUUUCUGUCUUCUUCUCCUAACACUGCUAAUACUUUACAGUUUAGCACAAAGCCAGAAAUAUUUCUGUCUGUUCAGUCAAGACCAAGAACAGUUGGUGUGUAUUUGGAUUGUGACAGUGGAGAACUUUCCUUUUACCAUGUAGAAGAUAAAAAUCUAAUUUUAUCUUUGAAGGAUAAAUUCACAAAAGAUGUGUUCCCACUUUUCAACCCUGGGAAAGGCGAUGUUGCAACUAUUACAAUAUUGCACAGGACAAGCGAGUCUGGUGAGGAACAUGAUGUUGUAGAUUCAGUAAUGAACAAUGCUCCUGAAUCUACAGCAUCAGAUCCAGCAGGAAAACAGACUUCUUCUGAGUCUGCUGAUGCUGCAGAUUCAUAAUUAAUAUACCCUCAUUGUGAACCUGCAGCAGCAGUAACAACUGCUAUGCUGCAGGUCAGUGAUGUACUAAUCUAACUAAGCCAAGUGUAAUCAUCAUUUCUCAUUAUUUGUAUUCUAUUUUGAUUUGGAUUUUUAAGGAAACCCAUAAAGUUAUAAUAAUAUUAAUAUAUUUUAAAGUCCCCAUGAAGUAAAAUCUGACACAUGAUCUAUUUCCCACUGGUUGUCGAGUUAUAGACAAACAAAAAAUAUGCAUGACAUACCAUUUCAGGAUGUAUGGUUUUUGCAACUAAUUACAAGAUUUAUUGAAUUAUAGCAGAUCUAGUUAAACUAUUUUUACUAGUAAAACAUAGAAAACAUUUCUUUGGUAGCUAUUUCAUAUGGAUUUUAAUGUAGUUUAUUUUAAACCAGGGAAUUUCAGACAGAUAGCAGAAAACAUGUAUCAGGCUGUUGGACGAUUUGUUGUUCCCCUUUGUGGACAAGAAAACAGCUACAACAGCUGCAUAGUUGUUGUUUUGCUGUCUACUCAGAUGCUUUAAAUAUGUGUGUGUUUACAGCGUCUUUUAGCAUCUUUACAUGUGGCCAAAUCUAAAGUGUCACGAUAAACAGAAAGGUAAAAGAGACUGAAUUAAUGUUGCAGAUCCUGGUGCCCUGACAGAUGAGGGCAGUAAAACAGGCAUUUGGUUCUUUGUAACUUAAAAAAAAAAAAAAAAUGCUGAGACAGGGGAGGGGGCUCUUUAAUUCUCAGACAAAUCUCAUAACUUCUUAGAUUAAACUUUUAAAUGUAUUUCUUGAAAAAAACACUGAUUUACAAGAUAAACAGAUUAGUAAAUGAAAAAUCUUACUCAAAGAUAAGUAAAUUGUUUUAGAAACAUUAAUAACUUGAAUUUUGUGUGUGUUUGCAUUUGGACGCACACACAUUCACAUCCCAAUAACGCUGCAGUAUCUAAGCUAAUAUUUUAUGAAGAUGAGAAGUAAAUUACUUUAAGCAUCAAUGUAUUAAGCUGCCUAAGAGUUGCUCAGCCUGUUGUACUGAUCCAGAUCUGGAUAAAGAAGUGAUCAAGUUCCUUUUCCAAAAGGGGGGGGGGAGGAAAAGUGUAAAUAUAUUCUUGUAUACUGACUAUUUAACUCAGUUUUUUACAUUCUAGUUUGUUUCAUUUACUCUUGGAAAUACAGGCUUGUUCUCUCAAAGUGUGUGGUUGAGUGGUUAACAUGACUAGAAAGGUGCUAUAAGUACUCUAUUUACCAUUUCUAGUACGCUGUCAUAGAAAUGAGUUGAGGUUAUUCCAUGUUGAAUUUAGAGGAACAAGUAAUUAUAACUUUUUUUACAAUUAUUUUGAUAUUUUUAUUUAUUUUCUUGCCGGGAGUUUUUUGAGUUGUGUUUUGUUUAACAAGCCAACAGCUAGUUAGCUUAGCACAAAAACAGGAAAGGUGGAAGCAGGUGGAAACAGCCUCUCUGGUGUGUUGAAAAACCCAAGAUGGAACAGUAGGAAACAGGUUUAUCCCACUGUUAUCGCGCAAUUUAACAAGCAGAACAUUUUAUUAAAGAUACUUGCAGGUGGAAUUUGUAACCCCACCCUAGCUAAACUGUUUUAAAUUGAGUUGAUGUAUCCUAGCAUGUUUAGUGGUUUUGUAUAUGCACUGAUUAUUUUAAUGAAAUGAAAAAUACUUUAAUAAUUCCAGAGGUAAAUUGCAUUUAUGUGUAUUGUAUGCUGCCUUUAAAGGUUUCUUGUACAUUGGUACCAUUGUCGCUUUUUGGAUUUUAUUUUCCUGUCCUUUAAAUUACUCAGUACCACAUUGUUAGAUUAAAAAAACUGUGUGAAACAAAUUCUGCUAAUUUCAUUAAUGUAAUGUGAAUGUAGAGGCCAUGACAACGAAUAGCACUUAAUUGAGUGGGCUUAACUAACAGCAACACUGUUGUUUCUGGUUAUAUGAACUACAUCUGUGGUUUUCUGCUCUGACAAGGCAGACUGUGUACUUAUGAAAAAACACUACAGCAUCAAUCUGAAUAGGAGUAACCUCAUCAUGGUAAUUUAUACCCUUGGUGUAACUUAGAGGAGCAGGAAAACACAAAGAUUUUUGAAUAUUUAUCAGCUUUUUAAGACUGUGGAUAGAUGGUACUCAGUCCUACUCUGUUAUAUAUUCUAUUUUUUAUUUGUAUUGGAUGUGCAUUUAGCAGUUUGUGUAAUUUGUAAACAAAUGUGUGCUUUGACUUGUAUUUUGUCAUUUUAAUAAAAAUACAUAAAUCU